CCUGACUCUGGGAUAAGCGCUGGAAACGGCGUCUAAUACCGGAUACGAGCUGCGACCGCAUGGUCAGUAGCUGGAAAGAAUUUCGGUCAGGGAUGAGCUCGCGGCCUAUCAGCUUGUUGGUGAGGUAAUGGCUCACCAAGGCGUCGACGGGUAGCCGGCCUGAGAGGGUGACCGGCCACACUGGGACUGAGACACGGCCCAGACUCCUACGGGAGGCAGCAGUGGGGAAUAUUGCACAAUGGGCGAAAGCCUGAUGCAGCAACGCCGCGUGAGGGAUGACGGCCUUCGGGUUGUAAACCUCUUUUAGCAGGGAAGAAGCGAAAGUGACGGUACCUGCAGAAAAAGCGCCGGCUAACUACGUGCCAGCAGCCGCGGUAAUACGUAGGGCGCAAGCGUUAUCCGGAAUUAUUGGGCGUAAAGAGCUCGUAGGCGGUCUGUCGCGUCUGCUGUGAAAACCCGAGGCUCAACCUCGGGCCUGCAGUGGGUACGGGCAGACUAGAGUGCGGUAGGGGAGAUUGGAAUUCCUGGUGUAGCGGUGGAAUGCGCAGAUAUCAGGAGGAACACCGAUGGCGAAGGCAGAUCUCUGGGCCGUAACUGACGCUGAGGAGCGAAAGGGUGGGGAGCAAACAGGCUUAGAUACCCUGGUAGUCCACCCCGUAAACGUUGGGAACUAGUUGUGGGUCCAUUCCACGGAUUCCGUGACGCAGCUAACGCAUUAAGUUCCCCGCCUGGGGAGUACGGCCGCAAGGCUAAAACUCAAAGGAAUUGACGGGGACCCGCACAAGCGGCGGAGCAUGCGGAUUAAUUCGAUGCAACGCGAAGAACCUUUCCAAAGGCUUGACAUAUAGAGGAAAACGUCUGGAAAACAGUCGCCCCGCAAGGU
Molecule: ribosomal RNA, 883 nt
Filed under: Microbacterium arborescens
Lineage: Bacteria; Bacillati; Actinomycetota; Actinomycetes; Micrococcales; Microbacteriaceae
Description: bacterial SSU rRNA
Rfam family: Bacterial small subunit ribosomal RNA
Source: RNAcentral